This 169-nucleotide unclassified non-coding RNA is filed under the name uncultured Scedosporium. RNAcentral describes it as "sequence contains ITS1". Lineage: Eukaryota; Fungi; Ascomycota; Sordariomycetes; Microascales; Microascaceae. The record is from RNAcentral.
CCGAGUUAUUACUCCAAACCCUUUGUGAACCUUACCAAUUACUGCUGUUGCCUCGGCGGACGGCCGGGAGGGCACCCCCCCGCGGGGUCGCCCGACCGCCCCCGCCGGCAGCACCAAACUCUUGAAUUUAUAGCGAAACUACUUCUGAAUAACAAAAACAAACGAAUCA